CACGUGAUGAGGAAGGAUGGGUAGCACGGCCUUGGAUACCUUAGUCUCGGGUGGUAUCCUGUGAUGGGGAAAUGAGUCCUCUCUUACCAUGUCUGGCUGGCGGCGACCCAGAUGCCAUGUGAUGGCCAUCUGAAGAGAGGCCUGUCGGACAUCAGGUCCAGACACUUGCCUUCAGGGACCUGGGCUUUCAGCUCUCCAUACCUGGCCCUGGUUGAUGGCCCCAUGCUGAGCAGUGCACGUGAAGACACACAUGGAUCCAGUCCUCUACUCCUCUUGUCUGGACCUGCUUGUUUUCAGGUUCCUUUUGCUGCAUGCUGACCUCAGGCCACAGCCCCACGUGCCCUCUCCCCACACGCCACUUCUCGGCUCCCACUCUCACCCACCGGGCAGUGAUCUCCCAGAGCCGUAAAGCAUCGCGGGCAUAGAGAGCACCCGGGGUUCCCAGCAGGCCGCGGUCAGCCAGAUUGUCAGGAGGACAGAGGGAGCAGUAGGUCAGCUGCGCCAGGGCCCGGCGGAGCAAGUGCACGUGGCCCCCUCCACCGGUGCUCACUGCCUGGGACAAGAGAGAUGCGAGGGUUGAGGAAGAAGCCAGCACACAGUAUAAUCAUUUGAUACUGGGCUGUUUCCUUUCUCUGGGGUCUGAGUGAAGUGGGACGUGGAGGGUAGAGGUUGUACCUUGAAGACAGGGUGCAGCCCCGGAAGGCACCUCAUGGUGGCCACAGCGAUGACCUCAGCCAGCAG
This is a long non-coding RNA of Hippopotamus amphibius kiboko, 741 nucleotides long. RefSeq lists it as uncharacterized. Lineage: Eukaryota; Metazoa; Chordata; Mammalia; Artiodactyla; Hippopotamidae. The transcript has 6 exons. The record is from RefSeq and is a predicted model, not a curated record.